GCGGAGGAAAAGAAAAUAACAAUGAUUCCCCCAGUAACGGCGAGUGAAGAGGGAAGAGCUCAAAGUUGGAACCUGUUUGGCUUAGCUAAACCGGAUUGUAAACUGGAGAAGUGUUUUCCUGGCACGCCAGACCGAUAAGUCCUUUGGAACAGGGCAUCAUAGAGGGUGAGAAUCCCGUGCUCGGUCUGAGCUGUUGUCUUUUGUGAUACACUUUCAAAGAGUCAGGUUGUUUGGGAAUGCAGCCUAAAUUGGGUGGUAAAUCUCACCUAAAGCUAAAUAUUGGCGAGAGACCGAUAGCGAACAAGUACCGUGAGGGAAAGAUGAAAAGAACUUUGAAAAGAGAGUUAAACAGUAUGUGAAAUUGUUGAAAGGGAACCGUUUGGAGCCAGACUGGCUUUGUCGUGAUCAAUCUGGGUUUCGACCUUGAUGCACUGACGGCAGAUGCCUGCCAUCGACAGUUUUGUUUGAAGGAAAAAACUAAAGGGAAUGUGGCCUCUCGGGGUGUUAUAGCCUUUUAGAAAAUACUUCGAAUGGGACUGAGGAACGCAGUGGAUGCCUUUGGCGAAGUUGCUAGGCGCUUUUGUUGAUAAAUGCUGGAAUUUCUGCUUUGGGUGGUGCCAGUGUUUAAAGAUAGAACUCGUUUGGUAUAUUUUCUAUCCACUUAUGUUGAUGGCUUAAUGACUCUAAAUGAC
Molecule: ribosomal RNA, 692 nt
Filed under: Mycotypha sp. CBS 109960
Lineage: Eukaryota; Fungi; Mucoromycota; Mucoromycetes; Mucorales; Mycotyphaceae
Description: eukaryotic LSU rRNA
Rfam family: Eukaryotic large subunit ribosomal RNA
Source: RNAcentral